This 695-nucleotide ribosomal RNA is filed under the name Clostridium botulinum C. Its description in RNAcentral is "partial 23S ribosomal RNA". It matches the Rfam family "Bacterial large subunit ribosomal RNA", at positions 326 to 1018 of the family's 2925-position model. The record is from RNAcentral. Lineage: Bacteria; Bacillati; Bacillota; Clostridia; Eubacteriales; Clostridiaceae.
UCUUUAGUUGAAGAGAACUGGAAAGUUCCGUCGUAGAAGGUAAUAACCCUGUAGGCGAAAAGGAAAGAAAAGUAGAUCUACUCCAGAGUACCACGAGACACGUGAAACCUUGUGGGAAGCUGGGAGGCCCAUCUCCCAAGGCUAAAUACUACCUAGUGACCGAUAGUGAAGCAGUACCGUGAGGGAAAGGUGAAAAGAACCCCGGAAGGGGAGUGAAAUAGAAUCUGAAACCGUGUGCCUACAAUCGGUCGGAGCACAUUAAAGUGUGACGGCGUACUUUUUGUAGAACGGGCCAGCGAGUUACGAUAUAUAGCAAGGUUAAGCACUUAUGGUGUGGAGCCGAAGGGAAACCGAGUCUGAAUAGGGCAACUAGUUGUAUAUUGUAGACCCGAAACCGGGUGACCUAUCCAUGGCCAGGAUGAAGCGGAAGUAAAAUUCCGUGGAGGUCCGAACCACGUUGGUGUUGAAAAACCAUGGGAUGAGCUGUGGAUAGCGGAGAAAUUCCAAUCGAACUCGGAGAUAGCUGGUUCUCCUCGAAAUAGCUUUAGGGCUAGCGUCGGGUAAUUGAGUAGUGGAGGUAGAGCACUGAAUGGGCUAGGGGCUGACAACAGUUACUGAACCCUAUCAAACUCCGAAUGCCAUAUACUUGUACCCCGGCAGUCAGACUACGAAUGAUAAGAUCCGUGGUCAAAAGG